GUAAUCUCCUAGCAAGGGUGAUGCAGAGUUCUAGAUGAGAGUUUCCAGUUGCGAGGGUUUGGAUUUGGGGAGGUUUUGGAACUUUGUUGGUGGGUAUUUGAGAUUUGGUCAACCCUCCAAUUGGUGUGGAGCUUCUACCUCUUUGGGGUUUACAGCUCUCCAGGGCUUCCAGAAGAAUCCACCUUUAUGGCCGAGGGACUAAGCCUCCACAGUUAUGGAUGUUCUGACCUUCACAGUUCUGGAUGAGAAUCACCGGUGUCCACUCUGGAGUGCAAACACGCUUGCGUCGCUUCAGCCAGUCUUCACAAUGGCUCUUAUGGGGUGCCAGCUAUUAUGGGAUUUUUUCCCCCUCUCCCUUGGGAUCCAGAGGCUGAGCAGUCACACUGAAUGGUUCUUCGUGCCUGUUUCAGCCUGUCUGGUUCAGGCAGCCUCUGGGAAUUCUUUCUUUGGCUGCUGGUAACUUCCAGUCCCCUGUCUCUGUUCACAGCUGCGAAAGCUGCAGGGGAACAGCUUUCAGCGCCAGGAACCGUUUCCUCACCUGCCCGGGAGUUGUCUUGUCGCAGAGGGUGGUGGACAAGGGGCUCCCUCCCGGGGACCACUUUCACCCCAGCGGACCUCCUUGGAUUUGUGUUCAUGGGGAGUUACUUACCCCACCAACUCAGUGUCCCUUCAAACAGCCUCCCUCGUAAACCCUGGGUUUCCCUAAGUCAGUUUUUCUUUAAUUUGUGUAGCGGGCACCCAUGUGUGUCCCCUGUCUGCACUCCCUGCUCAGCUGUGCUGGUGGCCAGGUUUUCUUUAUGUUCAAGUUACUGACUUUCUGUAGCUCUGUGAUUUUUUUUUUCCUUUACAGUUUAGUAUUAUGUUUCAGUGACGUUCCUUUGGUACUCACCUUGCUGAAGCACCAUCUUCUCACUUUGUAAGUCUGGUGCUGAGGAACCGCUGGGCGGUGCUUCGCUUCUCUACUCCGCCAUCUUGUCUGGCUCCUUGAUUAGCAUUUAAAUAAGCAGACUUUGGGGGAAGUGGAUUCCUCGCCAGAGUGUGGGUGGGCCUCGACCCAUCAGUUGAAGGCUUUAAGAAAAAGAGGAAUGCGAUCCCAAGAGAAGGAAGAAAUCUUGCCUCCAGGGUAUACAGCAACUCAUCCUUCCACCUGGAAGCUUUCCCUGCAGUUUGGUCUUAGCUACUCACAGAGGUAAG
This 1194-nucleotide long non-coding RNA is filed under the name Marmota monax (woodchuck). Lineage: Eukaryota; Metazoa; Chordata; Mammalia; Rodentia; Sciuridae. The record is from RNAcentral.